Ictidomys tridecemlineatus (thirteen-lined ground squirrel) is the source of this 3429-nucleotide non-coding RNA. NCBI's taxonomy places the organism in Eukaryota, Metazoa, Chordata, Mammalia, Rodentia, Sciuridae. The record is from RefSeq and is a predicted model, not a curated record.
AGGCUCAUGUUUUCUAGUCCACAUUAAUAACGGAGCAGACUAAUAUUGGGAACAAACAUUUGCUCAUAGCUCCUUCCUUGCCAGUGGCAGAGGGAGGCUGGGCUCUGGCUGCUGUGGCCUCCAGGCCCAUCAGCUGCCACGCUUGUCAUCAGCUAUGCUUUUAGGAGUCUUCUGAAGCAUCAAAAUGAGGAAUGAGGGGAUCUAAGAGGAGGGAGGCAUGUGUUCUGUUUCCACAGUGUGGUUGAGUCUCUUUCCUUCCCCUGAGGCUUCUGUUCCCAGCCGAGUCAGCCCAGGGAUCUGAGAGCAUGUUUUAGAUCACAUAUCAAACGACCAAACUCCACAAUUCCUUGCAAGUAAACUUCCCUCUGGGGCAGAGCCGGACCACGGCUGUCUGCAUGAGCUGUGCCUCUCCCCUGAUGAACAGCCUUUGCUAUAGUCACCUCUAGAAAUUUUUUUUUCCCCUUUUACAGGAAACACACACAGUGUAAUAACCAUCUGGCCCCUUUAUUUCUCAGUGGAGCUGCGUGUGUUCAGCGCUGACCUCUCUGGCCUUGCAUUUGGCUGGAAGCAAUCCUCUUAUUAAAUCAGAAACCAAAGAGGACCCCUGCCCCUUACCCCUGACCCCAAGACAAGCCUGAGGCUGGCCUCAUCCUGACUUCAACAGACCGUCUGGCAUUUAAAUGCCAACAUCUCUCCAAAGGGCCGUGAUGCAGGCGAUAAGAGAAUAAAACUUCAUCAGCCAUAUGAGCUUCGGAUUGGGCCAAGCCUGGGAGUAACACAUAUGGCUUCUUCUGCUCAUGGUCCACAGGCUCUACUUCAGUCACGUGAUCACACCAAUCACAAGCAAGGCUGGCAAGUAUGGUCUGUGUCUGUGCCCAGAAGGGAGAAGGCCAAGUUUUAUGAGCACAUGGAAAACUGUGCAUUGGCAAGAUCUAGAUUUAAUAAGGCGAGAGAUUUAAUUUGGGGAGUUUAAUAACAUUGGAAAUGUGGAAGAUGAACCAAAUGACCUCUGAAGACACCUUUAGGCCUCAUGAUCCCAUUCAACUCCAAAUGUGGUUUUAUUAAAGAAUUGUCUACAGCAAGCUAAAACACAAAAACAUAACACAGAGACAUUCUGCUCUUUUAGGAAUCAAAUGCUGCUUUCACGAUACCAUUGCAUUUUCGUAUCUGAAGUGCCAAGAUAGCUCUCAUGAUUUAGAAUUUACAAUAGACUCUCUUAAAAAUAACAUUCCUGUACAAAUUAAUUCAGUGAGUCCUGUGAAUAGUUAGCUUCAAUGAGCUGGAAUAAAUGCUCACUAUAUAUUGGAUAACUCAGAAUUUUCAUCUAGCAUAAAGCUAAGAUGGCUUCAGAAGAAUAUAAGCUAAUUUCAAAUUUUUACUGUCAAAUUAUGGUUUAAGCUCUAACUCCAUGCAUUUCACCACCUCACGACUUUUAAUAGGUAUUUGGGGGAUUGCAAGCAAAGGAAAAAAAAGGUAUCUUUUCCUAAAAAUAUUGUACUCUCACCAGUGAAAUUUAGGCAAACAAAAUAAGGUAAAACAUUUGGAAAAAUAUCAACAUUUGAUUCUGAAAUUGAGAAUCAUACCAUGAUGGCUAUUAUUUGUAAUUUUUAAAAAUUAGAUUUUUUUUUAAGAUCAGCUUUAGAUUUACAGAAAAAAACUGAGCAGAUAGUACAGAGAACUCUCAUAGACCCCUCUUUUAUGCUCACUUCCAUUAUUAUCAUAUCUUGCAUAAGUGGGCACAUUUGUUAUAUAAGAAGAACAGAUACUAAUGUUGUUAACUAAAACCUAUAGCUUGCAUCAGGAGUUACUCUUUGUAUUGUGCAUUUAUAGUAUGUAAAGUACAUAAUUUUAUGUGUCUACUGUUACAAUAAUUGAAAGAGUAGUUUUAUUGCAGUCAUUGUAAUUUGCAAUUUCUUGGUGAGAUGAUGUGGACCAUCUUUUCAUGUGCCUAAUUGUCAUUGGCAAUCUUUCAUUUUUAAUUUUCUCUUCAAAUAUUUUGCCCAUGUUUAACUGAAUGAUCUGUUUUCUUAUUGCUGACUUUCAAGGAUGUGUUUUAUGUUUUGGAUACCAGUGCUUUAUUAUUAGAUAUAUAUUUUACAAAUCUUUUCUCCAAGUCUGUAGUUUGUCUUUUCUUUCUUUUUUUAAAAUAUUUUUUUUAGUUGUAGAUGGACACAAUGCUUUAUUUUGUUUAUUUAUUUUAUGUGGUGCUGGGGAUAGAACCUAAGGCCUCACACAUACUAGGCAAGUGCUCUACCACUGAGCUACAAUCCUGGCCCCUGUGGUUUGUCUUUUCAUUCUCUUAUAUGAGUAUUUCAUAGGUCAAGCGUUUUCUUACAUUAUUGAAGCUUAGCUGAUCCAUCAUUUAUUUUCUUCCAUGGAUUGUACUUCUGUUGUGUCAAAAAGUAAAACUUGAGGUUACUAAGAUUUUAUCCUGCUCUCCUCUAGUGGUUUUUCAGUUGUGAUUUUUAUACUUAGGUCUGUGAUUCAUCUUGAAUUAAUUUUUGUGGACAGAGAGAAGUCUAGUUUUAUGUUUUUGCACGUGGGCAUCACGUUAUUUCAGCACCAUUUUCUAAAAACCUUUUAUUUUUCCAUUAGAUUGUCUUUGUUCCUUUGUCAAAGAUGUGUUGAGUAUAUUUACAUGGAUCUAUUGGUGAGUUCUCUAUUUUGUCCUAUUGAUAUAUUUGUCUGUUCUUUCAUCAAAACAAUACUUUCCUAAUUACUGUUGUUUUAAAGUAAGUGUUGAGAACAGUCCUCCAACUCUGCUCUUUAAUGCUGUGUUUUUCUUUCUUUCUUUUGAUGGUGAGUUGGGUAUUUAGAGAUUAAUUUUGUCUUUAGUUUUCAGAGCACAUGUAAAAUUCUUCAGAUGUGUUUCAGAUCUGUGAAUGAAGUGCAGAUGCCUAACUGGGCUUUCAAACUCUAUCCCUCUCUCACUAUUUUCCAAAACAUCCGUCACUCCACCAGUACCUGGGCACUCCCUGCCCCUCUGACCCCACCCAGAGUCUCAUGCUUCUUCCUUGGGCAGGAUGUUCUGUAGGAUUGGAUGCCUCUUGGCCACAUUCACCUGGAGACAUUGUUGAGAGGCUCUGAGGACACACAACCUCCCUUAAAGCAAGGAUGGACCAUAUGACAAUUCCAGUCACUGAAGAAGAAGAAACCUGCUCUGAGGCUUCUGCAGUAGGUUUUGAUAAAAGAGAUUCCCAGGAUGCCAUAACACUAUGGAACCAAGGGAGUGGUAUAUGGUGCUCUACGACUGGACUCCAUCAGGGCCUGGAAUGGGGCCACACAUGCGCUGGCUUGAACGGAGUCAUUCUUUCCUGACAACUUUAUCAGCCCUCUACUUCUAAUCCACAUUGCCAGAUCUACUGGUCUUACUGCCCCGAUGCUUCUAUCAGUAGAUCUUCAAUAAAUUGCACUCUGUGUGAUCCUGGA